AGACAGCCGCGGUAAUUCCAGCUCCAAUAGCGUAUAUUAAAGUUGUUGCAGUUAAAAAGCUCGUAGUUGAACUUCGGGGUUUACCCAUUGGUCAGGCUUAAUUGUCUGUACUGGUGAGAUGAAUCUCUACCUUCUGAGGAACUUUUAUGCCAUUUAGUUGGUGUGAUAGGAAAUCAGGACUGUUACUUUGAAAAAAUUAGAGUGUUUAAAGCAGGCUAACGUCUGAAUACAUUAGCAUGGAAUAAUGAAAUAGGACGGAUUGGUUCUAUUUCGUUGGUUUCUAGGAUCACCGUAAUGAUUAAUAGGGAUAGUUGGGGGCAUUAGUAUUCAAUUGUCAGAGGUGAAAUUCUUGGAUUUAUUGAAGACUAACUAUUGCGAAAGCAUUUGCCAAGGAUGUUUUCAUUAAUCAAGAACGAAAGUUAGGGGAUCGAAGACGAUCAGAUACCGUCGUAGUCUUAACCAUAAACUAUGCGACUAGGGAUCGGACGAAGUUAAUUUUAUA
This 502-nucleotide ribosomal RNA is filed under the name uncultured Diversispora. RNAcentral describes it as "SSU rRNA". It matches the Rfam family "Eukaryotic small subunit ribosomal RNA", at positions 569 to 1073 of the family's 1831-position model. Lineage: Eukaryota; Fungi; Glomeromycota; Glomeromycetes; Diversisporales; Diversisporaceae. The record is from RNAcentral.